GCUAGGCGCGGUGGCUUGUGCCUGUAGUCCCAGCUACUUGGGAGGCUGAUACAGGAGGAUUGCUUGAGUCCAGGAGUUCUGGGGUAUAAUGCGCUAUGCCGAUUGGGUGUCCACACUAAGUUUGGCAUCAAUAUGAUGACCGCCUGGGAGCAGGGGGCCACCAAGUUGCCUAAGGCAGGGUGAACCAGCCCAGGUCAGAAAUGGAGCAGGUCAAAGCUCCUAUGCUGAUUAGUAGUGGGAUCGCACCUGUGAAAAGCCACUGCACUGCAGCUUGGGCAGCAUAGUGAGACCCCUGUCUCUU
Non-coding RNA from Otolemur garnettii (small-eared galago), 301 nucleotides. Lineage: Eukaryota; Metazoa; Chordata; Mammalia; Primates; Galagidae. The record is from Rfam.